This 531-nucleotide ribosomal RNA is filed under the name Pseudomonas gessardii. Its description in RNAcentral is "bacterial SSU rRNA". It matches the Rfam family "Bacterial small subunit ribosomal RNA", at positions 930 to 1460 of the family's 1533-position model. Lineage: Bacteria; Pseudomonadati; Pseudomonadota; Gammaproteobacteria; Pseudomonadales; Pseudomonadaceae. The record is from RNAcentral.
CGGUGGAGCAUGUGGUUUAAUUUGAAGCAACGCGAAGAACCUUACCAGGCCUUGACAUCCAAUGAACUUUCUAGAGAUAGAUUGGUGCCUUCGGGAACAUUGAGACAGGUGCUGCAUGGCUGUCGUCAGCUCGUGUCGUGAGAUGAUGGGUUAAGUCCCGUAACGAGGGCAACCCUUGUCCUUAGUUACCAGCACGUUAUGGUGGGCACUUUAAGGAGACUGCCGGUGACAAACCGGAGGAAGGUGGGGAUGACGUCAAGUCAUCAUGGCCCUUACGGCCUGGGCUACACACGUGCUACAAUGGUCGGUACAGAGGGUUGCCAAGCCGCGAGGUGGAGCUAAUCCCAUAAAACCGAUCGUAGUCCGGAUCGCAGUCUGCAACUCGACUGCGUGAAGUCGGAAUCGCUAGUAAUCGCGAAUCAGAAUGUCGCGGUGAAUACGUUCCCGGGCCUUGUACACACCGCCCGUCACACCAUGGGAGUGGGUUGCACCAGAAGUAGGUAGUGUAACCUUCGGGAGGACGGUUACCAA